RNAcentral lists this ribosomal RNA (468 nucleotides) under uncultured bacterium. Its description in RNAcentral is "partial 16S ribosomal RNA". It matches the Rfam family "Bacterial small subunit ribosomal RNA", at positions 28 to 507 of the family's 1533-position model. The record is from RNAcentral.
GACGAACGCUGGCGGCGUGCCUAACACAUGCAAGUCGAACGGAAAGGCCCUGCUUUUGUGGCGUUCUCGAUUGGCGAACGGGUGAGUAACACGCGAGUAACAUGCCCUUGACUUUGGGAUAACUUCAGGAAACUGGGGCUAUUACCGGAUAGGAUCUUCUGCUCCGCGGUGGUGGUUGGAAAGUUUCGGCGGUUGUGGCUGGACUCGCGGCUUAUCAGCUAGUUGGUGGGGUAGUGGCUUACCAAGCCUUUGACGGAUAGCCGGCAUGGGAGGGUGACCGGCGUCAAGACGACUGAGGUAGGGAGCAGACGGGUAUGGGAGGCAACAGGGGGGAGUAUGACACAGUGGGGGGGAGCCUGAGGCGACAGCGCUGCGUGCGGAAUGACGGCCUUCGGGUUAUGAACCGCUUUGGCAUGAGACGAGGCGAUAGUGACGGUAAUGAGUAAAGAAGCAACGGCUAACUACGUG